GGGCCCGUAGCUCAGCGGCAGAGCACGCGGCUCAUAACCGCUUGGUCGUAGGUUCGAAUCCUACCGGGCCCA
This 72-nucleotide transfer RNA is filed under the name Chloroflexota bacterium. Its description in RNAcentral is "Chloroflexi bacterium (anaerobic digester metagenome) tRNA-Ile". It matches the Rfam family "tRNA". From Rfam's summary of the family: Transfer RNA (tRNA) molecules are approximately 80 nucleotides in length. RNAcentral also lists the same sequence under 1 other name. The record is from RNAcentral. Lineage: Bacteria; Bacillati; Chloroflexota.